GAUGAACGCUGGCGGCGUGCCUAAUACAUGCAAGUCGAGCGAACGGACGAGAAGCUUGCUUCUCUGAUGUUAGCGGCGGACGGGUGAGUAACACGUGGAUAACCUACCUAUAAGACUGGGAUAACUUCGGGAAACCGGAGCUAAUACCGGAUAAUAUUUUGAACCGCAUGGUUCAAAAGUGAAAGACGGUCUUGCUGUCACUUAUAGAUGGAUCCGCGCUGCAUUAGCUAGUUGGUAAGGUAACGGCUUACCAAGGCAACGAUGCAUAGCCGACCUGAGAGGGUGAUCGGCCACACUGGAACUGAGACACGGUCCAGACUCCUACGGGAGGCAGCAGUAGGGAAUCUUCCGCAAUGGGCGAAAGCCUGACGGAGCAACGCCGCGUGAGUGAUGAAGGUCUUCGGAUCGUAAAACUCUGUUAUUAGGCAAGAACAUAUGUGUAAGUAACUGUGCACAUCUUGACGGUACCUAAUCAGAAAGCCACGGCUAACUACGU
Molecule: ribosomal RNA, 496 nt
Filed under: uncultured bacterium
Lineage: Bacteria
Description: partial 16S ribosomal RNA
Rfam family: Bacterial small subunit ribosomal RNA
Source: RNAcentral